Molecule: ribosomal RNA, 524 nt
Filed under: Ascomycota sp. DO-Y13
Lineage: Eukaryota; Fungi; Ascomycota
Description: eukaryotic LSU rRNA
Rfam family: Eukaryotic large subunit ribosomal RNA
Source: RNAcentral
CAUGAUGCUCAGUACGGCGAGUGAAGCGGCAAAGCUCAAUUUGAAAUCUGAGGCUCUCACGCCCCCGGAGUGUUAUUUUGAGAUGUGGUCUGGUUGCGGGCGCCCUGUCUACGUUUCCUGGAACAAGACAUCGCAGAAGGUGAGGAUCCCGGUCGUGGCGGGGCCGCCUGGCUUCGUGUAGAGCGCAUCGACGAGUCGAGGUGGUUGGGAAUGCAGCUCCUAGUGGGUUGUAAAUUCCAUCUAAAGGCUAAAUAAUGGCGAGAGACGAUAGCCGACCAGGUACAGUGAUGGAAAGGAUGAAAGGACUUUUGAAAAGAGAUGGAAUCAGACUUGGUUGCUGUUGCGAAUAGCCGCUCCUCGGUUUGGGCGGCAAGAACAAUGGCGGGGGAACGUGGCCACUGCUCCGGGCAUGUGUGUUAUAGCCCCCGCUGAUGUUGCCUGCCUAAACCAAGGACUGCGGCUUCUGCCUAGGAUGCUGGCGUAAUGAUCCAACACCGCCCGUCCUGACACACAGAGACACAAAA